Molecule: unclassified non-coding RNA, 343 nt
Filed under: plant metagenome
Description: partial contains small subunit ribosomal RNA, internal transcribed spacer 1, and 5.8S ribosomal RNA
Source: RNAcentral
UUUCCGUAGGUGAACCUGCGGAAGGAUCAUUAUUGCAUAUUCUUGAUGGGUUGUAGCUGGCUCUCCGGGUCAUGUGCACACUUGUCUUGACUCUAUUCGUCCACCUGUGCACCUUUUGUAGUCUUGGGGGUUGAGAGCAGUCGACUAUCGGAUGGCUAUGGCCUUUCCGGACGUGAGGAUUGCUGAGUGCGAAAGCAUACAGCUCUUCUUAAAUGACUUGCAAAACCUCUCCCUCGAGUACUAUGUAUUCAUAUGCCACAUAGUAUGUUGUAGAAUGUGAUCAAUGGGCCUAUGUGCCUAUAAUAAUAAUAUACAACUUUCAGCAACGGAUCUCUUGGUUCUG